UACGUAGGGCGCAAGCGUUAUCCGGAAUUAUUGGGCGUAAAGAGCUCGUAGGCGGUUUGUCGCGUCUGCUGUGAAAGACCGGGGCUCAACUCCGGUUCUGCAGUGGGUACGGGCAGACUAGAGUGAUGUAGGGGAGACUGGAAUUCCUGGUGUAGCGGUGAAAUGCGCAGAUAUCAGGAGGAACACCGGUGGCGAAGGCGGGUCUCUGGGCCAUUACUGACGCUGAGGAGCGAAAGCGUGGGGAGCGAACAGG
This 253-nucleotide ribosomal RNA is filed under the name uncultured bacterium. RNAcentral's name for it is "partial 16S ribosomal RNA". It matches the Rfam family "Bacterial small subunit ribosomal RNA", at positions 524 to 776 of the family's 1533-position model. The record is from RNAcentral.